Molecule: ribosomal RNA, 2247 nt
Filed under: Proteus mirabilis
Lineage: Bacteria; Pseudomonadati; Pseudomonadota; Gammaproteobacteria; Enterobacterales; Morganellaceae
Description: partial 23S ribosomal RNA
Rfam family: Bacterial large subunit ribosomal RNA
Source: RNAcentral
AUGGGGUGACUGCGUACCUUUUGUAUAAUGGGUCAGCGACUUAUAUUCUGUAGCAAGGUUAACCGUAUAGGGGAGCCGUAGGGAAACCGAGUCUUAACUGGGCGAAUGAGUUGCAGGGUAUAGACCCGAAACCCGGUGAUCUAUCCAUGGGCAGGUUGAAGGUUGGGUAACACUAACUGGAGGACCGAACCGACUAAUGUUGAAAAAUUAGCGGAUGACUUGUGGAUGGGGGUGAAAGGCCAAUCAAACCGGGAGAUAGCUGGUUCUCCCCGAAAGCUAUUUAGGUAGCGCCUCGUGAACUCAUCUUCGGGGGUAGAGCACUGUUUCGACUAGGGGGUCAUCCCGACUUACCAACUCGAUGCAAACUGCGAAUACCGAAGAAUGUUAUCACGGGAGACACACGGCGGGUGCUAACGUCCGUCGUGAAGAGGGAAACAACCCAGACCGCCAGCUAAGGUCCCAAAGUCAUGGUUAAGUGGGAAACGAAGUGGGAAGGCUCAGACAGCCAGGAUGUUGGCUUAGAAGCAGCCAUCAUUUAAAGAAAGCGUAAUAGCUCACUGGUCGAGUCGGCCCGCGCGGAAGAUGUAACGGGGCUAAACCAUGCACCGAAGCUGCGGCAGCGACACAAAGUGUUGUUGGGUAGGGGAGCGUUCUGUAAGCCUGCGAAGGUAUACUGUGAGGUAUGCUGGAGGUAUCAGAAGUGCGAAUGCUGACAUAAGUAACGAUAAUGCGGGUGAAAAACCCGCACGCCGGAAGACCAAGGGUUCCUGUCCAACGUUAAUCGGGGCAGGGUGAGUCGACCCCUAAGGCGAGGCUGAAAAGCGUAGUCGAUGGGAAACGGGUUAAUAUUCCCGUACUGGUGGUAACUGCGAUGGGGGAACGGAGAAGGCUAGGUUGUCCGGGCGACGGUCGUCCCGGUUCAAGCAGGUAGGCAGAGUGAUUAGGCAAAUCCGGUCACUUAAUGCUGAGAUGUGAUGACGAACCACCAAGGUGGUGAAGCAAUUGAUGCCCCGCUUCCAGGAAAAGCCUCUAAGCUUCAGGUUACCAACAAUCGUACCCCAAACCGACACAGGUGGUCAGGUAGAGAAUACUCAGGCGCUUGAGAGAACUCGGGUGAAGGAACUAGGCAAAAUGGUGCCGUAACUUCGGGAGAAGGCACGCUGGCGGUAGGUAAAGUCCCUUGCGGACGGCGCUGAAGCCAGUCGAAGAUACCAGCUGGCUGCAACUGUUUAUUAAAAACACAGCACUGUGCAAACACGAAAGUGGACGUAUACGGUGUGACGCCUGCCCGGUGCUGGAAGGUUAAUUGAUGGGGUCAGCCGUAAGGCGAAGCUCCUGAUCGAAGCCCCAGUAAACGGCGGCCGUAACUAUAACGGUCCUAAGGUAGCGAAAUUCCUUGUCGGGUAAGUUCCGACCUGCACGAAUGGCGUAAUGAUGGCCAGGCUGUCUCCACCCGAGACUCAGUGAAAUUGAACUCGCUGUGAAGAUGCAGUGUACCCGCGGCAAGACGGAAAGACCCCGUGAACCUUUACUAUAGCUUGACACUGAACAUUGAGCCUUGAUGUGUAGGAUAGGUGGGAGGCUUUGAAGUGUGGACGCCAGUCUGCAUGGAGCCAACCUUGAAAUACCACCCUUUAACGUUUGAUGUUCUAACCUAGGCCCAUAAACUGGGUCGGGGACCGUGUCUGGUGGGUAGUUUGACUGGGGCGGUCUCCUCCUAAAGAGUAACGGAGGAGCACGAAGGUUGGCUAAGCAUGGUCGGACAUCAUGCGGUUAGUGCAAAGGCAUAAGCCAGCUUGACUGCGAGAGUGACGGCUCGAGCAGGUACGAAAGUAGGUCUUAGUGAUCCGGUGGUUCUGAAUGGAAGGGCCAUCGCUCAACGGAUAAAAGGUACUCCGGGGAUAACAGGCUGAUACCGCCCAAGAGUUCAUAUCGACGGCGGUGUUUGGCACCUCGAUGUCGGCUCAUCACAUCCUGGGGCUGAAGUAGGUCCCAAGGGUAUGGCUGUUCGCCAUUUAAAGUGGUACGCGAGCUGGGUUUAGAACGUCGUGAGACAGUUCGGUCCCUAUCUGCCGUGGGCGUUGGAAGAUUGAGAGGGGUUGCUCCUAGUACGAGAGGACCGGAGUGAACGCACCACUGGUGUUCGGGUUGUCAUGCCAAUGGCAUUGCCCGGUAGCUAAGUGCGGAAGAGAUAACCGCUGAAAGCAUCUAAGCGGGAAACUUGCCUCGAGAUGAGUCUUCCCUGUC